Xenopus laevis (African clawed frog) is the source of this 1584-nucleotide long non-coding RNA. RefSeq lists it as uncharacterized. NCBI's taxonomy places the organism in Eukaryota, Metazoa, Chordata, Amphibia, Anura, Pipidae. The transcript is spliced from 3 exons. The record is from RefSeq and is a predicted model, not a curated record.
AUAGAUAGAUAGAUAGAUAGAUAGAUUUUGUGUUGCUGCCAGUGACACUAUGUGGCAGUGUGGGCUGCUGGCAGUUGCAGUGUGUGUGGUACUCUGCUCGUCAUUGUGCUGGAAGCAAUGAAGGUGUGUUUGUGAGCGCUGUAAAAGGACUACCCCCCCCACACACACACAAACACACACCCCGGCCCCUCCUAGUCAGGCAGUACAUUUCAUACAGACUUACACACCAUGUCCGCCUCAUCCUUCCCUUCCCACCAGUGUCAGCAGGUAACAGGUAACAGAUAAGCCUUCCCGGAGCACAAUUUGGAAGGUCAGCUAAAGAGAUAUCAGUAUCCUUUCCAAAGAGGGGUCUUCUCAGUGCCUUUAUCAUAAUGGGACUGUGUUAACAGACAAUGAUGGUGUGAACUGGACUGGAGAGUGUGUAAGUGAGUGAAACUAGACCAGUGUGAUCCACAACAAUGACCCAAGCUGAACAAAAGGAAACACUAAAUGAAGGAGAUAUGUCACCAACUGCAGUGACAUCCAUGAAACCAUAAGUAGAUUGCAUUCUCAUUCCAUACACAUUGUACGUGAUUUGGUAGCAUCACAAGAGUGUCUUUAAAUUCUCUACUGAAAGACACCAGUCACACCCACAUGGAGCAAUACUUGGGAAAGCCACCUGAAAAGGACCAAACUGACUGAACGUAUGACCAGCUAAACUUUGUUUGCAGAUUUUCCUAAAUCAAAAAGUCCUUGUCUCAAAUUUCUCCUCAUCCUCUCAAACAGCUUGUGUCCCACUUUGGGCAGAGAAGCAUGCGAAGAUUCGGGGAGAUUUAGCAGCCCGCUGACAAAUCGCCUCUUCUUCUAAUCUCCCACAAACUGCCUUCUCACCUGCUAGAAUCUAAAUCGCCAGCGGGAUGGCACACGGAGCACUUCGUUUUACGAAGUUGCCCGAAGUUGCCUCAUGAGGAAACAUGAGCACAAAAGCAGUAAAAUGUCCUUUUUAAUGACAUUAUCCCCAGAUCUUCCUAGACAAUAAUAUGUCACCCUAAUCCAGACAUAAUGAAGUUAUUUCCAGGACUUUAUAUUGUCUCCCAGGUAAUACAACUUUUCACCUGGUCAUAAAAUAAUUCAAAUCAGCUUGGCUUUGUAUCAUUUGAUUGAGCAUGCCACUGUGCAUUUUACAAAUGUAUAAAAACAUUUUGAAAUUAAGAAAAAUAUGACAAUAGCAAAAAUUAUCACACUGUAAUGUGUUAGAAAAAUAAGUUUAGGGAAACCAUAUGAUUAUAGACCAUCAGUUUAGCUAUAAGAAAACCCAGAGAGUUGAUGCUGGGGCACCAAUGGCACCCAUUAUAUUUAAAAGGCCAUGCACCAGCUUAUAUCUAAAUAUUUAGUUUUGCCUUGGGUUCUUAAUUUGGUAUGAGACCAUAGCCUAUUUUGUUCAUUGAAGGCUAUUCUCCUUCUUAGGCAAGCAAUACUGAAAACCCAGCUCAGAUCUUUUAAUGGAAAGAUACAGCAAAUUAAUUCUUUAUCAUGUGCAAUAACUUUUAGCAGAUACACCAACUAUGGCUUAACACUGAAAUAUUAAUCGUUUUCUGAUAUUUU